RNAcentral lists this long non-coding RNA (223 nucleotides) under Elaeis guineensis (African oil palm). RNAcentral's name for it is "long non-coding RNA (EGUI_LNC073765)". The record is from RNAcentral. Lineage: Eukaryota; Viridiplantae; Streptophyta; Magnoliopsida; Arecales; Arecaceae.
AUAUUUGAACUCGAUUGGAGGAAGGAUAGGGUCGAUCAUGUGGUAAUGUCUAACUGCUCGGAUCAGUUCAAAUACUAUAAAAUUAACUAGUCAAAAUCAAUUAUGAUUUAGAUAAUUCAUCAAGGAUUAAUGGUGACUAAAUUUUAGAAGUACUUGACAAGGACAACAUGCCACUGAGUUAGCGGGAUAGUUCAGAGCCUGAACUUAAAUUGAUAGUGAAGGG